RNAcentral lists this ribosomal RNA (506 nucleotides) under uncultured bacterium. RNAcentral's name for it is "partial 16S ribosomal RNA". It matches the Rfam family "Bacterial small subunit ribosomal RNA", at positions 29 to 523 of the family's 1533-position model. The record is from RNAcentral.
AGUGAACGCUGGCGGUAGGCCUAACACAUGCAAGUCGAACGGCAGCACAGGAGAGCUUGCUCUCUGGGUGGCGAGUGGCGGACGGGUGAGGAAUACAUCGGAAUCUACUCUGUCGUGGGGGAUAACGUAGGGAAACUUACGCUAAUACCGCAUACGACCUACGGGUGAAAGCAGGGGACCUUCGGGCCUUGCGCGAUUGAAUGAGCCGGUGUCGGAUUAGCUAGUUGGCGGGGUAAAGGCCCACCAAGGCGACGAUCCGUAGCUGGUCUGAGAGGAUGGUCGGCCACACUGGAACUGAGACACGGUCCAGACUCCUACGGGAGGCAGCAGUGGGGAAUAUUGGACAAUGGGCGCAAGCCCGAUCCAGCCAUACCGCGUGGGUGAAGAAGGCCUUCGGGUUGUAAAGCCCUUUUGUUGGGAAAGAAAUCCAGCUGGCUAAUACCCGGUUGGGAUGACGGUACCCAAAGAAUAAGCACCGGCUAACUUCGUGCCAGCCGCCGCCGUAA